GAUGAACGCUGGCGGCGUGCCUAAUACAUGCAAGUCGAGCGAACAGAUGAGGAGCUUGCUCCUCUGACGUUAGCGGCGGACGGGUGAGUAACACGUGGAUAACCUACCUAUAAGACUGGGAUAACUUCGGGAAACCGGAGCUAAUACCGGAUAAUCUAUUGAACCGCAUGGUUCAAUAGUGAAAGACGGUUUUGCUGUCACUUAUAGAUGGAUCCGCGCCGCAUUAGCUAGUUGGUAAGGUAACGGCUUACCAAGGCAACGAUGCGUAGCCGACCUGAUAGGGGGGUCGGCCACACUAGAACUGAGACACGGUCCAGACUCCUACGGGAGGCAGCAGUAGGGAAUCGUCCGCAGUGGGCGAAAGCUUGACGGAGCAACGCCGCGUGAGUGAUGAAGGUCUUCGGAUCGUAAAACUCUGUUAUUAGGGAAGAACAAAUGUGUAAGUAACUAUGCACGUCUUGACGGUACCUAAUAAGAAAGCCACGGCUAACUACGUG
This 497-nucleotide ribosomal RNA is filed under the name uncultured bacterium. Its description in RNAcentral is "partial 16S ribosomal RNA". It matches the Rfam family "Bacterial small subunit ribosomal RNA", at positions 28 to 507 of the family's 1533-position model. The record is from RNAcentral.